RNAcentral lists this ribosomal RNA (393 nucleotides) under uncultured soil bacterium. RNAcentral describes it as "bacterial SSU rRNA". It matches the Rfam family "Bacterial small subunit ribosomal RNA", at positions 26 to 412 of the family's 1533-position model. The record is from RNAcentral.
AGAGUGAACGCUGGCGGUAGGCCUAACACAUGCAAGUCGAACGGCAGCACGGUAAGAGCUUGCUCUUAUGGGUGGCGAGUGGCGGACGGGUGAGGAAUACAUCGGAAUCUACCUUUUGGUGGGGGAUAACGUAGGGAAACUUACGCUAAUACCGCAUACGCCCUUCGGGGGAAAGCCGGGGACCAGCAAUGGCCUGGUGCUGAUAGAUGAGCCGAUGUCGGAUUAGCUAGUUGGUGAGGUAAUGGCUCACCAAGGCGACGAUCCGUAGCUGGUCUGAGAGGAUGAUCAGCCACACUGGAACUGAGACACGGUCCAGACUCCUACGGGAGCAGCAGUGGGAAUGUGGACAAGUGGGCGCAAGCCUGACUCCAGCCAUACCGCGUAGGUGAAGAA